GAUGAACGCUGGCGGCGUGCUUAACACAUGCAAGUCGAACGGACUUUAUAUGAAGCCUAGCGAUUAUAAAGUUAGUGGCGGACGGGUGAGUAACGCGUGAAUAACCUGCCCUGUACCGGGGGACAACAGUUGGAAACGGCUGCUAAUACCGCAUAAGCGCACGGUUCCGCAUGGAACAGUGUGAAAAACUCCGGUGGUACAGGAUGGAUUCGCGUCUGAUUAGCUAGUUGGCAGGGCAACGGCCUACCAAGGCGACGAUCAGUAGCCGACCUGAGAGGGUGACCGGCCACAUUGGGACUGAGACACGGCCCAAACUCCUACGGGAGGCAGCAGUGGGGAAUAUUGCACUAUGGGGGAAACCCUGAUGCAGCGACGCCGCGUGAGCGAAGAAGUAUUUCGGUAUGUAAAGCUCUAUCAGCAGGGAAGAAGAAAUGACGGUACCUGACUAAGAAGCACCGGCUAAAUACGUGCCAGCAGCCGCAGUAA
This 486-nucleotide ribosomal RNA is filed under the name uncultured bacterium. RNAcentral describes it as "partial 16S ribosomal RNA". It matches the Rfam family "Bacterial small subunit ribosomal RNA", at positions 28 to 523 of the family's 1533-position model. The record is from RNAcentral.